Molecule: ribosomal RNA, 253 nt
Filed under: uncultured bacterium
Lineage: Bacteria
Description: partial 16S ribosomal RNA
Rfam family: Bacterial small subunit ribosomal RNA
Source: RNAcentral
UACGGGGGGGGCAAGCGUUGUUCGGAAUUACUGGGCGUAAAGGGCUUGUAGGUGGCCAACUAAGUCAGACGUGAAAUCCCUCAGCUUAACUGGGGAACUGCGUCUGAUACUGGAUGGCUUGAGUUUGGGAGAGGGAUGCGGAAUUCCAGGUGUAGCGGUGAAAUGCGUAGAUAUCUGGAGGAACACCGGUGGCGAAGGCGGCAUCCUGGACCAAUUCUGACACUGAGGAGCGAAAGCCAGGGGAGCAAACGGG